This 2895-nucleotide long non-coding RNA is filed under the name Nicotiana benthamiana. Its description in RNAcentral is "long non-coding RNA (NBEN_LNC032892)". The record is from RNAcentral. Lineage: Eukaryota; Viridiplantae; Streptophyta; Magnoliopsida; Solanales; Solanaceae.
GUCACUGUUGGCGCUAGUGGGUACCGACUUCUGAGAUUCCUACUAAGACCGGCAUUAGCCCGCUAUUUCCUCCAGCAUAGGGGUUAACAUCAAAAAACUGGAACACAUUAUGAGUCAGGUCCCAAAAGUGUAUCAAAUCGUCUAUUACGUCCAACCUUGGUUUGAUUUUCAAGAGACCAACAAGACCGCCCAAAACUUUUACCACAGUAGCUCUGCUGACUUUUCCUAAGUCAUUCCAUCACAUAUAGAGUUGUAAUGGGACUUUCUCAAGAGCCGUGAAUGGUUCAUUUUGAAUUGUGCUCAUCCUGCACAUUUAUUAGAGUGAUUGGUUAAAAGAUCAUGAUUUAUUUUGACUCAAGAGAAAGUUAUCAGUUUUCAAAAAAAUUUCAUUUCAAAAUUGGGAACGCCUUUGAAAAUACGGCCUUUCACCACCCCAAGGAAGAAGAUUUAGGGUUGUGUUUGCUAAUUGGAAAAAUAUUUUAAAAAAAAGAACCAAAUGUGGUGUCCUUUUGGGGACAUUUUGGCCAUUUAGACAAGAACGUACCUAUCUAAUUUAUAACUAAACAACAAAAUUUUGGUUCUUUUGGAUUAUUUUUGCAAAAACAGAGUUGGACCUGGUGAGGGUUGCCUAUGUAUCCCACAUCCGACGAGAAUCAAACUUGCGUAGUUCAGGUAGUUUUAACAUGAUAAAAACAAUAGCAAAUAUUUCCUUGAUGCAAAAGUUCCUUUUCUUUUUCUAAAAUAUUUUGGCAAAGUUUCGGUACUUUUUGGACAUCGGGUUUUUUCAAAGAUAGGUAAUUAUCUCUCUCAACCCUCAAAUUGAUAUUUCACUCUCCAACAUGCAAUCCGAAGCAAAUAAAUGCAGAAGUGGCAAGUAGAAUGUAUCAUGAUGGUCUUUUAAUUUUUUGGGUACAGCUGUCCUAGAUGGACCCAACCCCUGUGUUGAGCCUCCAAAAUCAAAUGCACAUGAUGAAAAUAAAUGUUCCUACUCGGGAUCUGGCAUGAGACUUUUUAUACUAGGUUUAAACUCUAGGUGUAUUUUUCGAGACCUAGCUUACCCGAGCGGACAGCUCUAGCCGAGGGUGAAGCGUACCAGAAAUACAGAAGCUUCGCCAUCUUUUGAACUUGUCCGAACCUCGUUCUAAAAUUGGUAUAUGACUCUAACAGAAAAGAAGUUACACGAGUGCACACUUCCCAGAUGAUUUAGAAGACUCAUAGAGAAUAGGGUUGUGUAACAAUUUAUAUACAGGUCAAAACAAUAUCAAAGCGGUAAAAAGCAUCAUUUAACACAUUAAGCUCAAUCAUGUAUAAAUCAGAUAUUAAAUAAAAGCCAACUAUAAUAGUUAUUAUCAAAUUCUUGAACCCUAAACCAAAAGUUCUGGGUUCUUUUUCCCCAGCAGAGUUGCUACAGCUAUCACACCUUCUUUUUAUCCAUCCGAGGGGGUAUAUAGGAGUUUUUUCAAUUAAAGUGACAUUAAUAAAAAUGAGAUUAUUUUAUUUAAUUUAUUAGAGUCGUCUCUUGGGAUAAUUUAAUUGGUGUUCCAAGUUACCGAUUUAUUUUAAAAUCGCAAAUCGAGAAAAUUUUGACUUUGUUUAAAAGUCUGCGAAACAGAAAUUCUAAGUAAGGAAUUCUGUUAACUAGGGAGAAUGUGUUAGGCAUUUUCAGGUUCUGUGGUUCUAGCACAUUAAUAAUUGGCAUAUUAUCUGAUUUACUGUACAUUUUAAACUUAUUGUGCAUUUAUUACUUUAUAAUCACUUUUUGAUUAUUUUUACUGCUUUUAGGAUUUAUGGAAUUAUUUCUUGAACAAGUUACGAUUGUCAUACACUUAUUUAUUUUGGAACAAGUCGUGAACCACUUUAUGAGGUCACAUGAAAUUACACCCGAAUUUGAGAAUUAUGUAUCAUAACUAUGUCAUGGGAACCGUACCCAUAGCCACAAUGAUUUAUCAUAAAAUGCGCUUAAAGCAGGCUACAAAUGUUCAAGGGUGUUUUUGAUACUAAGUUAAAAUGGAAGGGCCAGCUUAUAGAUUUUUAUUUGUGUAUGGCACACCUAGAUUAUUUUUUAGAUAAAUAAAUUGCAAUUAUAUUACGCGAACGUAUACAUAAUUAUAAUAAUAAAUUUAAAACUCACCUAAAAGUGCACCUACCCGGGUGUGACCGGCCUAAUCAUGCUACUAGCAAAUAAUACACCAAGAUGAAUAAGUAAAAAAGAACAGUUGUAAUAGGAAAACAAAUUCUAAAUCAUGCUUAAAUUCUAGAUCAUGCUUAAAUUCUAAUAGAAUCAAUAUGUAUUUAUAGUGAAGUUGAGUAUCUGUGACCCAAUUCGACAACCAAAACAAUAAAAUGCCAAUUUGCUUAAACAUUUUAGACUAACUCAAUUUUAAACUAUAAAGGUUCUAUCUCCACUUCCGUUAAACUAACUCGAUAAUAGCAACUGAGAACCAUAUGCUUUUUAGAUACAAAAACAAAACAAAUAAUAGGAAGAUAAAUAGUAUAUCAUGGGUGAAAGAGGAGUGAACCUUCAACUAGCAAAAAUUCCUCCCUGAAUAUUAAGUUUAUAGAAAACAUCCAAGCUUAUCUCAAGUCGAGCCAAAUACUCUUUGAAAUUUAUUAACAAUAAAACCAAGUCAUAUGAUUACCCAAAAUCACAUUCCGACCUUCAAACUUGACCCAAAGAAUGGAUAGCGACAAGAACAUUAGACUAGAAGAUUUCGACGGCAUCCAAAAUUUUUGCACAUGAUCUAGAAACCCAGCAGAAUACCUUAGAGCUUGGUUUUUCAUAGCGUGUGGCUGUGAGGUGACUAUUUUUAGAGGUGGGUCUUGGAGGAAUUUGAAGUGUAGAAAGAGACGAACAGGGUAAGGUUGUGUGAAGGAGACGAACUGAUGGGGGGGGNN